CCUACGGGAGGCAGCAGUGGGGGAUAUUGCACAAUGGGGGAAACCCUGAUGCAGCGACGCCGCGUGGGUGAAGAAGUAUUUCGGUAUGUAAAGCCCUAUCAGCAGGGAAGAAAGAAGACGGUACCUGACUAAGAAGCCCCGGCUAACUACGUGCCAGCAGCCGCGGUAAUACGUAGGGGGCGAGCGUUAUCCGGAUUCACUGGGUGUAAAGGGAGCGUAGACGGCCGUGCAAGCCAGGAGUGAAAGCCCGGGGCCCAACCCCGGGACUGCUCUUGGAACUGUGCGGCUGGAGUGCGGGAGGGGCAGGCGGAAGUCCUGGUGUAGCGGUGAAAUGCGGAGAUAUCAGGAGGAACACCGGCGGCGAAGGCGGCCUGCUGGACCGCGACUGACGUUGAGGCUCGAAAGCGUGGGGAGCGAACAGGAUUAGAUACCCGGGUAGUC
RNAcentral lists this ribosomal RNA (441 nucleotides) under uncultured bacterium. RNAcentral describes it as "partial 16S ribosomal RNA". It matches the Rfam family "Bacterial small subunit ribosomal RNA", at positions 338 to 795 of the family's 1533-position model. The record is from RNAcentral.